Molecule: long non-coding RNA, 217 nt
Organism: Mirounga angustirostris (Northern elephant seal)
Lineage: Eukaryota; Metazoa; Chordata; Mammalia; Carnivora; Phocidae
Exons: 3
Source: RefSeq, a predicted model, not a curated record
GUCUAUAAUGAUAUUCAGCUGGAUGGCAAGUUCUUUCUAUAAGUGAAAUCCAAGCAGCCCGCUCUGUUGCCAAAGUGCAAAAGGUAUGUUGUCUCAGCACCUAUUGUAUUCUAUGUUUGGAACCUCUGAAAAUGUAGUAAUUCAAGUUCAUGGAUACACAGACUCAUUUGCUGUGACCACUGCUAUUAAAAGUUAUCCUGAUAAUAGUUCUACAUAU